AGAGUUUGAUCCUGGCUCAGGACGAACGCUGGCGGCGUGCCUAAUACAUGCAAGUCGAGCGGACAGAAGGGAGCUUGCUCCCGGACGUUAGCGGCGGACGGGUGAGUAACACGUGGGCAACCUGCCCCUUAGACUGGGAUAACUCCGGGAAACCGGAGCUAAUACCGGAUAAUCCCUUUCUCCACCUGGAGAGAGGGUGAAAGAUGGCUUCGGCUAUCACUAGGGGAUGGGCCCGCGGCGCAUUAGCUAGUUGGUAAGGUAACGGCUUACCAAGGCAACGAUGCGUAGCCGACCUGAGAGGGUGAUCGGCCACACUGGGACUGAGACACGGCCCAGACUCCUACGGGAGGCAGCAGUAGGGAAUCUUCCGCAAUGGACGAAAGUCUGACGGAGCAACGCCGCGUGAGUGAGGAAGGCCUUCGGGUCGUAAAGCUCUGUUGUGAGGGAAGAAGCGGUACCGUUCGAAUAGGGCGGUACCUUGACGGUACCUCACCAGAAAGCCACGGCUAACUACGUGCCAGCAGCCGCGGUAAUACGUAGGUGGCAAGCGUUGUCCGGAAUUAUUGGGCGUAAAGCGCGCGCAGGCGGCUUCUUAAGUCUGAUGUGAAAUCUCGGGGCUCAACCCCGAGCGGCCAUUGGAAACUGGGGAGCUUGAGUGCAGAAGAGGAGAGUGGAAUUCCACGUGUAGCGGUGAAAUGCGUAGAGAUGUGGAGGAACACCAGUGGCGAAGGCGACUCUCUGGUCUGUAACUGACGCUGAGGCGCGAAAGCGUGGGGAGCAAACAGGAUUAGAUACCCUGGUAGUCCACGCCGUAAACGAUGAGUGCUAGGUGUUAGGGGUUUCGAUGCCCGUAGUGCCGAAGUUAACACAUUAAGCACUCCGCCUGGGGAGUACGGCCGCAAGGCUGAAACUCAAAGGAAUUGACGGGGACCCGCACAAGCAGUGGAGCAUGUGGUUUAAUUCGAAGCAACGCGAAGAACCUUACCAGGUCUUGACAUCCUUUGAUCACCCAAGAGAUUGGGCUUCCCCUUCGGGGGCAAAGUGACAGGUGGUGCAUGGUUGUCGUCAGCUCGUGUCGUGAGAUGUUGGGUUAAGUCCCGCAACGAGCGCAACCCUUGAUCUUAGUUGCCAGCAUUAAGUUGGGCACUCUAAGGUGACUGCCGGUGACAAACCGGAGGAAGGUGGGGAUGACGUCAAAUCAUCAUGCCCCUUAUGACCUGGGCUACACACGUGCUACAAUGGAUGGUACAAAGGGCAGCGAAACCGCGAGGUGAAGCCAAUCCCAUAAAGCCAUUCUCAGUUCGGAUUGCAGGCUGCAACUCGCCUGCAUGAAGCCGGAAUUGCUAGUAAUCGCGGAUCAGCAUGCCGCGGUGAAUACGUUCCCGGGUCUUGUACACACCGCCCGUCACACCACGAGAGUUUGUAACACCCGAAGUCGGUGAGGCAACCUUUUGGAGCCAGCCGCCUAAGGUGGGACAAAUGAUUGGGGUGAAGUCGUAACAAGGUAGCCAAGCCGAAUUCCAGCACACUGGCGGCCGUUACUAGUGGAUCCGAGCUCGGUACCAAGCUUGG
Molecule: ribosomal RNA, 1572 nt
Filed under: Shouchella clausii
Lineage: Bacteria; Bacillati; Bacillota; Bacilli; Caryophanales; Bacillaceae
Description: bacterial SSU rRNA
Rfam family: Bacterial small subunit ribosomal RNA
Source: RNAcentral